RNAcentral lists this ribosomal RNA (468 nucleotides) under uncultured bacterium. Its description in RNAcentral is "bacterial SSU rRNA". It matches the Rfam family "Bacterial small subunit ribosomal RNA", at positions 28 to 516 of the family's 1533-position model. The record is from RNAcentral.
GACGAACGCUGGCGGCGUGCUUAACACAUGCAAGUCGAGCGGUAAGGCCCUUCGGGUACGACGAGCGGCGAACGGGUGAGUAACACGUGGGUGACCUGCCCUUACGCUCUGGGAUAAGCCUGGGAAACUGGGUCUAAUACCGGAUAUGACCUCAUGACGCAUGUUGUGGGGUGGAAAGCCUUGUGCGGCUAGGGAUGGGCCCGCGGCCUAUCAGCUUGUUGGUGGGGUGAUGGCCACCAAGGCGACGACGGGUAGCGGGUCUGAGAGGACGAUCCGCUCGAGUGGGACUGAGACACGGCCCACACACCUACGGGUGGCAGCAGUUGGGAAUCUUGCACAAUGGGGGGAACCCUGAUGCAGCGACGCCGCGUGGAGGAUGAAGGAUCUAGGUCUGUAAACUACCUUUAUCGGGAAAGACUUAGGACGGUACCCGAUGAAUAAGCACCGGCUAACUACGUGCCAGCAGCC